This is a non-coding RNA of Hydra vulgaris (swiftwater hydra), 718 nucleotides long. The record is from RefSeq and is a predicted model, not a curated record. Lineage: Eukaryota; Metazoa; Cnidaria; Hydrozoa; Anthoathecata; Hydridae.
CAUUAACCAAAUCACCUGUGAUUAUUUUGAAAAAUAAAGACUUAUAGCCGUAAGUAUGAGUCUUGGUAAUUCAAAAAAUAAAAAUGGUAAACUUGGUUUAUGUCACUGAUCUCUAUAAUAACUGGAUAGCGCAUCUCCUAAUAAAAUUUUGAAAUGUUGCUGCAAAUCUUUUUGAGAGAGCCAUUACUAUGGAGAACCAUCUAAACCAUACAAGUGUGGAAACAUAGGUGUAAAUCUUAAACACAUUUGUGAUAUAUAAUUGUAGAAUGUUAUAUGUUAUAAGUUUGGAAAUUAUAUUCUGCCAAAAAAUAUUUUUUUAAUGUAUUUUAGCAGAACAUACCUGGCCCGCAUUUGAUCCUGAAAAACGUUCUUUUUGGACCAAAUGCUGGCUGGGUAAUUUGAACUUGUAAAUGAACUUAUAUUCAUAAUUUUAAAACUGCUUAUGAUCUGAUCUGAUUUUAUUUUUGUCAUUUGUUUAUUUAGAUUAAUGUGAAAUAAACUGAUGAGUUUAUUUAACUUAGCUGGUAAAAAAAAGAGUUUUUGUGAAGCAAAUUUAAUGAAGACAAUUAUAGAAUGAAGUUCAUUCAUUUGCUGGCAACAUUUUUAAAUGUGGUCCAGAUCGAAAAAAUUUGGUGCUAGAAAUUGUCGAUAGUGGAAGUGAUAGAUGCAUCGAACCUAAUUUGUAAUUAAUUUCUGUAAAUAAAUUUCACUAUACUAA